GUACCAAAACAGGUACUUCCGAUCUGACAAAAAGGCAAAAUGUACCCUCCUUUUUAAAUUUCAUGCCAUUUUUUUAUUAUUCAAAUUUAUUAGUCAAAAAUUGUUCUGCAAUGAUCACCAGUCAUGCAGCUUUCAUUUGAUACCAAAAUUAAUAAAAUAUUCUAUAUAUAUUGAAAGUUAUGUCAAUGCGUAGGAACUAUUUUGUGUUAAAUAUGUACUACUUUCUGGUAU
This 231-nucleotide long non-coding RNA is filed under the name Mytilus galloprovincialis (Mediterranean mussel). Lineage: Eukaryota; Metazoa; Mollusca; Bivalvia; Mytilida; Mytilidae. The record is from RNAcentral.